UGGUGCAGUGCCGCCCUCGUGCGGGUCCCAGGCGGUGCCCAGGUACCAGCCCUUGUAGUGCUAAGGGCUGCUCUGCUCAUGCUGCCCCAUCGACUAGCUGGGACCCCCAGGACUCCUGGGUUCAAUCUCCAGCGCUGCCCUGAUUGGCUGGGACCUUGGACAGGUCCCUUAGUGUUGCGAUACCGCAGUUUGCAAAAGUGGGGUGUCAACGCAGUCCCAUGUCUGCCAGCGAGCCCGAAGUGAGGCAGGGUCAGCCCCUGCUGCACUGGUGCGGACUUGCCAGGGGCCUGUCUGCCUGCAUCCUGCUGGCUCUGUAUGCAGCGUUCAGCACUUCUGAUCACAAAAUGCCUCUCCCGCCUCCAAGAAGCUGCAGGAAGGAACUUAAGUGCCAAACCCGCAGGCCUGCAAAUGUUGUUCUUCCACUCCCAGAACUGCUUCCUGAAGCGUUCUUCCAGAUUGGGCCAGUGCUGCACUUCAUCCACAGAAAGCCGUUAGGCUGGGGCCUUGAUUGGUAAAGUAAACACAGAAUGAAAGGAAAGCAGCGUGUAGAUGAUCCUCUCAGCUCAAUUUCUCUUUUACAGGAUGUGUAAAAGUCCUCUUGAUGCCACAUGGAGAUCUGCACCAGGAUGAAAGAUAGCUGGCUAAUGCUGAACCUAAGCAAGACUGAGGCUGUGCAGAGAAGAAAUGCCAGAAGGAGGAGAUUGUGGGUGCAAACCUCAGCCCUUCAACUUCCCAGCAUAGCCAGGUCAACACAACUAUUAUUCACCUUGAACACCUUGCUUUUGUUUAAUGGGAAAGCCAGACAAGUGGACAGCACUUAUCAUCGUGGGAAUGAAGGAGCAUGAUCCGUAGGAAUGGGAUACAGUUGCUGAAUUGCAUUGAGAUGUCAUCAAGUUAGACACUAAUCCGGUACAUAUUGUAUCCAUUUUAAACUUUCUCUUAGCCACCUGCUUAAUAAUACCUUUGUUCAUUGCAACACAAGUUUGAAUGCAGGAUGAGUUUACUAUUGGACCUGUACUAUUGAGCUUGGCAUGCAACAUCAUUUUAUUAGCCCCCAGAGCUCAUAAAACAGCAAAAGAUAAUAGGCAUUUUUCUACUGUUAUCUGAGUUGUAUUUGUUCAUAUUACAUAAGCCAGCUGCAGGGAAAGGAGAAGAUAAGUAACUUGUGCAACAGUUUGUUGACCUCAAAGUUCAGAUGCUCCAAAGAGCAUCUCAGUAAGAGCAGCUGUAAGGAAAAGAGAAUGAAAUCGACAGGUGAAACCACAUAUUUGAUAUUUUGAACGUACAUAUUUUGUCACAUGCACUAUAUUUUCAGAGCCCAAAUCCCAGUCCUGUUGAAUCAAUGGCAAAACUCCUAUUGAGAACAAACAGAGAAGGAUUUGUUUCAGUUGAGAGCAUGCAGAGCAGUACUAAUGGAGUGACUAUAGAAAAAGGUGCUCUGGAUGUGUAAUAAAAACUAAAAGUUCAGCAACUUGACUUUCUUAACACUUUAUCCCCAAAUUAACAAAAGCAAUGUACUUUUUUUUUUUACCUUGCCCCCUUUUUUUUACCUUGCCCCCUAUAUUUUUAAAAUCCUAAAUACCUUAAAGUCUAACUGCAAACACGUUUAAUGCUAGUAAACUUUGUUGAGUGGUUUACUUUAGCAUAUCUAAAAACUGAUUAAGCAAAAAAAAAUAAAUUUCACUUUAAAGCAGAGAUUUGACAGCAAUUUUUGCCCAUCAAGUUUUAUAAAAGCUCAGCAUUGUUAUUCUGUCUCUUUCCCUGUCCCCGACCAGUGACAUUAUGAUAACUGAGAUUCGGUCAGAAUGUACAUUCUUAGGCGAUUCUGCAAUUGGAUCUGCAUGGAUAGACCCUUGCACUCACAUGGAAUCCCUUAGCAUUAUGGCAUAGGGGGUGAGAGGGUAGGGGAGAAAGAAAUAACUGUAUAUAUAAUUAAAUAAUAGUUCACCCAACUAGAUCUAUUUGUUAAGAAUUCAUCUGUAAUAAAACAGAA
Long non-coding RNA from Chelonoidis abingdonii (Abingdon island giant tortoise), 1993 nucleotides. RefSeq lists it as uncharacterized. Lineage: Eukaryota; Metazoa; Chordata; Testudines; Testudinidae. The record is from RefSeq and is a predicted model, not a curated record.